Molecule: non-coding RNA, 23 nt
Filed under: Cricetulus griseus (Chinese hamster)
Lineage: Eukaryota; Metazoa; Chordata; Mammalia; Rodentia; Cricetidae
Source: RNAcentral
GUUAGGAACUCAAGCAGGAUAGG